UUGACUCUGUAAACAUUUUAAUAAUGUUUUAUAUUGAUAUUUGGGUUAUGGUUUAUAUUUCUUUUAAGGUUUAGUGAUUAGUAUUUUAAGUUUAGUUUAUGGAAGAUUCAGAUGUUCAUCAAACUAUUUAAUAAUUUUAUUAAUAUGAACUAUACCCUUUAUCAUAUUUUAUUAUAUUUAUACAAUACCAUCACUAUCAUCGUGGAUGCUAUAACCACCGCAACUCUAACAACACUUUUUCAUUUAAGUGACAUGGUAUUACCGUCAACCGGCUUUG
Molecule: long non-coding RNA, 277 nt
Filed under: Brassica napus (rape)
Lineage: Eukaryota; Viridiplantae; Streptophyta; Magnoliopsida; Brassicales; Brassicaceae
Description: long non-coding RNA (BNAP_LNC001212)
Source: RNAcentral